RNAcentral lists this ribosomal RNA (374 nucleotides) under uncultured organism. RNAcentral's name for it is "partial 16S ribosomal RNA". It matches the Rfam family "Bacterial small subunit ribosomal RNA", at positions 527 to 896 of the family's 1533-position model. The record is from RNAcentral.
GGAGGGGGCAAGCGUUGUUCGGAAUUAUUGGGCGUAAAGCGUAUGUAGGCGGUCGGAUAAGUCAGACGUGUAAGCCCACGGCUUAACCGUGGAAUUGCGUUUGAAACUGUCCGUCUUGAGUGCAAAAGAGGAAAGCGGAAUUCCCAGUGUAGCGGUGAAAUGCAUUGAUAUUGGGAAGAACAUCUGUGGCGAAGGCGGCUUUCUGGUUUGCAACUGACGCUGAGAUACGAAGGCCAGGGGAGCGAACGGGGAUUGGGAUACCCCGGUAGUCCUGGCUGUAAACGAUGGGCACUAGGUGUAGGAGGUAUCGAUCCCUUCUGUGCCGCAGCUAACGCAUUAAGUGCCCCCGCCUGGGGAGUACGGUCGCAAGGCUG